Molecule: ribosomal RNA, 508 nt
Filed under: uncultured Sclerocystis
Lineage: Eukaryota; Fungi; Glomeromycota; Glomeromycetes; Glomerales; Glomeraceae
Description: SSU rRNA
Rfam family: Eukaryotic small subunit ribosomal RNA
Source: RNAcentral
AGCAGCCGCGGUAAUUCCAGCUCCAAUAGCGUAUAUUAAAGUUGUUGCAGUUAAAAAGCUCGUAGUUGAAUUUCGGGGUUAGUAGGUUGGUCGUGCCACUGGUAUGUACUGGUUCUACUGAUCCCUCCUUCUUGUAGAACCGUAAUGCCAUUCACUUGGUGUUGCAGGGAAACAGGACUGUUACUUUGAAAAAAUUAGAGUGUUUAAAGCAGGCUAACGCUUGAAUACAUUAGCAUGGAAUAAUGAAAUAGGACGUUCGAUCCUAUUUUGUUGGUUUCUAGGAUUGACGUAAUGAUUAAUAGGGAUAGUUGGGGGCAUUAGUAUUCAAUUGUCAGAGGUGAAAUUCUUGGAUUUAUUGAAGACUGACUACUGCGAAAGCAUUUGCCAAGGAUGUUUUCAUUAAUCAAGAACGAAAGUUAGGGGAUCGAAGACGAUCAGAUAUCGUCGUAGUCUUAACCAUAAACUAUGCCGACUAGGGAUCGGAUGAUGUUAAUUUUUUAAUGACUCA